AGGAUCAAAAGAAACUUGAAAGGUAUCACAGUGGUGAAGAAACAAAAGUGUAUUCCUCAAACAGGGCCAGGCAAACGACAGGUCAAGGCAGGCAGGGGUCAAUAAUCCAGAGAGGGUGUAAGGUACAGGACAGCAGGCGGGCUCAGUGUCAGGUCAGGCAGAGGUCGGUAAUCCAGAGUAGAGGGGCAAAGGUACAGGACGGCAGGCAGGUUCAGGGUCAGGACAGGCAGAAGGGCCAAAGCCGGGAAAAACUAGACAACAGGAACUUAGACAAUAUAGGAGCAAGGGGGGAAACGCUGGUAGGUUCAACGAACAAAACGAACUGGCAACAGACAAACAGAGAACGCAGGUAUAAAUACACAGGGGAUAAUGGGGAAGAUGGACGACACCUGGAGGGGGGUGGAGACAAGCACAAAGAUAGGUGAAACAGAUCAGGGCGUGACAAAAGGAGCAAAGCCCAGGUAAAAAGCUAGAGGAAAACCUGCCUCAGUCUUCUGAAAACCCUGGAAUAGAGUUUUAUUUCCACAACACAAUUGCACAUAUUUGAAUGUCAAAGAUACACCACAAUGGCUUUCCAAGAGGUGUUGAGUGUUCCUGAACAUCCAUUCUUUGUCCUGAUUAAAAUCUGCAUAAAUCUUUUUAGCCAAAAUGUGAAUUUUGCUAUCCAUCAAUGAUUCCCAACCAUAUUUAUGGAGGUUGAGCAGUUUUGACAAAAACAAUAGAUAUAUGUUCCCCUAAAAGUGCAAGGUGUGUUGGUAGAAUCCUAUUCAAAAUUAUUCACAGCUGUAAUGGCUGCCAAAUGCGCUUCCAUCAAGUAUUAACUCUGGGGUUUGAAGACAUACGCAAUCAAUACAUUGUUUUUAAUUUAGAUUAUUAAUUUGGAAAAUGUUCUAUAACUUUCUUUCACUUUGAAAAUGUGGAGUAUGUUGUUAUAGAUUAUUAGAGAUUAAAACAAAGAAAAAAUUAUUUAAAGGCAGCAAAAUGGGAAGAUUACAAGGGGUGUGUAGACUUUCAAUAGCUACUGUAUGACCUGGUUCUUCUUAAGGUCUCCUCCAUAAUUUACUGUGGGUAGAAAUAGCAUACAUGCUGCACUACAGAGCCAUUCUCACCCAUCUCAACUAAGCAAAGACAUUACUGUUUGUUAACGUUCUCCUAACCUUUCCAGCUGACCUGUCUUGCCUUCUGGAGGUGACCCUGCAAACGGGCGGCAGGUAGCCUAGAGCGUUGGACUAGUAACCGAAGGGUUGCAAGAUCGAAUCCCUGAGCAGACAAGGAGCGGUGUCAGGUCCCAUCAUGAGAAGCACAUGCUGUCCGACACAAAUAGAACACACUACCAUGUCAGACUGGGGGAGUGAGCGCUUUCGGUCACCUCACUGUCAAAUCAACGCCCUGCUCAACCAAUCACUAAAUCGUGUGAUGCAAAACAGGAAGGGCUCAAGGCCCGGAUGAUGGAAUCACUAGCCAUCCUUUUUUGUAUUGUAGAAUUUGACCCAACACAGUGAUGAGGUCCUGUUAUGAGAAAGUGAGACUGACAACAGGUAAAUGACUAUGUGAGACUGAGACACUGGCCCGCUGUAAGUCUGUGGAGAGCAUCGGCUACAGUAAAUGACUAUGUGAGACUGAGACACUGGCCCGCUGUAAGUCUGUGGAGAGCAUCGGCUACAGUAAAUGACUAUGUGAGACUGAGACACUGGCCCGCUGUAAGUCUGUGGAGAGCAUCGGCUACAGUAAAUGACUAUGUGAGACUGAG
RNAcentral lists this long non-coding RNA (1750 nucleotides) under Salmo salar (Atlantic salmon). RNAcentral describes it as "lncRNA (ENSSSAG00000083277.1)". The record is from RNAcentral. Lineage: Eukaryota; Metazoa; Chordata; Actinopteri; Salmoniformes; Salmonidae.